Molecule: ribosomal RNA, 492 nt
Filed under: uncultured bacterium
Lineage: Bacteria
Description: partial 16S ribosomal RNA
Rfam family: Bacterial small subunit ribosomal RNA
Source: RNAcentral
AGUGAACGCUGGCGGUAGGCCUAACACAUGCAAGUCGAACGGCAGCACAGUAAGAGCUUGCUCUUACGGGUGGCGAGUGGCGGACGGGUGAGGAAUACAUCGGAAUCUACUUUUUCGUGGGGGAUAACGUAGGGAAACUUACGCUAAUACCGCAUACGACCUACGGGUGAAAGCAGGGGAUCUUCGGACCUUGCGCGAUUGAAUGAGCCGAUGUCGGAUUAGCUAGUUGGCGGGGUAAAGGCCCACCAAGGCGACGAUCCGUAGCUGGUCUGAGAGGAUGAUCAGCCACACUGGAACUGAGACACGGUCCAGACUCCUACGGGAGUCAGCAGUGGGGAAUAUUGGACAAUGGGCGCAAGCCUGAUCCAGCCAUACCGCGUGGGUGAAGAAGGCCUUCGGGUUGUAAAGCCCUUUUGUUGGGAAAGAAAAGCAGCAGGUUAAUACCCCGCUGUUCUGACGGUACCCAAAGAAUAAGCACCGGCUAACUUCGUG